This 494-nucleotide ribosomal RNA is filed under the name uncultured bacterium. Its description in RNAcentral is "partial 16S ribosomal RNA". It matches the Rfam family "Bacterial small subunit ribosomal RNA", at positions 29 to 505 of the family's 1533-position model. The record is from RNAcentral.
AUGAACGCUGGCGGCGUGCCUAAUACAUGCAAGUCGAGCGAACAGACGAGGAGCUUGCUCCUCUGACGUUAGCGGCGGACGGGUGAGUAACACGUGGAUAACCUACCUAUAAGACUGGGAUAACUUCGGGAAACCGGAGCUAAUACCGGAUAAUAUAUUGAACCGCAUGGUUCAAUAGUGAAAGACGGUUUUGCUGUCACUUAUAGAUGGAUCCGCGCCGCAUUAGCUAGUUGGUAAGGUAACGGCUUACCAAGGCAACGAUGCGUAGCCGACCUGAGAGGGUGAUCGGCCACACUGGAACUGAGACACGGUCCAGACUCCUACGGGAGGCAGCAGUAGGGGAUCUUCCGCAAUGGGCGAAAGCCUGACGGAGCAACGCCGCGUGAGUGAUGAAGGUCUUCGGAUCGUAAAACUCUGUUAUUAGGGAAGAACAAAUGUGUAAGUAACUAUGCACGUCUUGACGGUACCUAAUCAGAAAGCCACGGCUAACUACG